UCAGAGGACAUUGAAGGUGCAACUAUCUACUUAGAUGCGGGAUGUACUGAGAGUUUCCAGUUUCUCGGAGCAUUCCCUCUGUUACUGGAGCUUGGAGUACAUGCUUUUUGCAGCUUGGAAGACAUGUCUCCUCUUGAUAUGUGUUGAUUGUGGGGUCAUCGUUAUCUUCUUGAUGAAGCAUUAUCUAAUGAACCAAGAACGGAGCAAAGUAAUAAGUAUUGAGGAGUGUAGGAAAACAAGAGCCAAGAUGAUACUUGCUUUUUUGAGUGAUCAAAGCAAGUCGAGCACUUCUAAGUUGAAACAAGCAUCUCCUUUUGCUCUUUAUGCUUGUUAAUGCCUGUCUGAAGGUUGAAUUUACUGAAAACAAGUUGUGCAGUUUGUAUUUCUCUUUCAAUAAACUGAAGGUGUUUGUUGAAGAUCAAAAUUCUGUCUACUAUGUUGGAAGGAUUUUGUUAAGUUGCUGGUUGAUCUGUUAAAACUAAUGGAAUUGACAGAACACAUCCUAUUUUGUAAUUUUGUAUUGUAACUAGGUUGACAUCAUGGAUUUA
Molecule: long non-coding RNA, 548 nt
Organism: Rhododendron vialii
Lineage: Eukaryota; Viridiplantae; Streptophyta; Magnoliopsida; Ericales; Ericaceae
Exons: 2
Source: RefSeq, a predicted model, not a curated record